AAUAACAUGAGGUUUAUUGAUAGGAACCAGUGCACUGGGGUCGAGACUCAUAUCCCACGCAGGGGCAGUGGAGUUCAACACUGAAAGGCUGGGAGAAAGGGUAUUUAAAGGGAGAAACCACAAUCCGAGGGCAGGGGUGGUGUCAUUGGAAAGUGUCGAGAAUACUAAUGAAAAAUCACAAGGAGGAGCUUCCUGUUUCUCAAGAUUGUUUACUUUAUGGUCCAUCAGUUCCUGGGAGAAGCUUCCUGCUUCUCAAGAUUAUUCUCUAAGAUUUUAAUCUAACUUUAUGGUCAGCUAGUGUCCCGCGCGUGACUUUCCGCCGGCAAGAAGCACGCGAGACAUAGAAAUUCUUGCUAUGAGUGAUACUUUAUUCCUAUCUCAUGGAGAAGCCCUGCGCGCCAGCCAGGCGCGCCUAUUUAACCCUCGGGCACGCAUCAACGCCUGAUUGGUUGUUUACUCAUGAUCUCAUCAGGCACGCCCCGGAAUGGGCAAAGACCUGGCAGGAAGGCACUCUUGCACAUGCGCAUAGUUAACUUCCUGAUAGGGGGGCCAGCUGGCGCAGGGAAGGCUGGCGCCAUCUUGACUGACUUGGCCUUCCAUGUGGGGCGCAGUGGAAGCCAGCGCCAUCUAAUGGUCGCGCAUGUUAUUGCGGCCCUCUACAUCUCACCCUUAUAAUUAUAAUUUUAUAGCAGAAAUGAUCACCCUAUCGCGUGCAAUGAGGAAACCUCAGCGAUGUGCAAGGGCUGAUCAAAGGAAAUCACUGAGUCUCUCUCAAUCCCAGUGCAAUGGAUCCACAGAUCCAUGGGGUGCAGGAGCAGAGAACUCAGAUACAGAGAGUAUCCCUCUCCUCCCAGUGCAAUGGACCCACAGGUCCAUGGGGUGCAGGAGCAGGGAACUCAAAUACAGAGUAAAUCCUGAACAAGAUAACCAAAUUCCAGGUGAGGCCCUUUGUUCAAAUGGCUGCAAGUGCUUGAGUGAUAACGGCCUUGUCAUGUUACUGUUGAGAUCUGAGUUUGUAAACCAACCAUAGUAUGAACACUGAUCCACAGCAUAGGGCUGCAUCAGACAGAGCCACUCCCGAUAAGUAGUGGGCACCUCAUAUGGUCCUCCUCAGCUGUUGCCACCAAGGGCCAUGGUCAAGCCACUCCUAUAAUGAAAUUUAGAAUUUCCAAUUGUUAGUAACUACUCCAGAAAGUUCACCCACUGUACUUGUCUAACAAUAGAUUGGGGGAGGAUAACUCCAGACACUGCAGACACAAUGUCUGCAGCAGUAAUGGCUGCUACAAUAGCAGCGAAAGUGUCAAGGUCUUUUCCAGGACAGUUCAGGAUCAGUCAUUUUUCUCUGGAACAACCAGCAGACAAUGGAACCAUUUCUGAGAUCUGUAUAACCAGGACAGAGGUCUCCAGUCACUGUAGCUUUACACAGGUAGCUUUCUGUGAAGCUAUAGUCUGUAAAAUGACAACACCAGUUACCAGUUAAGGCAGCAAAAGUCACCAGGGAAAUGAAAGGACAGGGGUAACAGCUAGAGUUCAGUCUUCUCCAGGAAACAGCAGUGUACAGAGUCUGAGCGUAGGCCACAAUGGGACGGGAACACGUGGCGGUAACACUGACUGCAGCAACGGCAAAGUCUCUGUGAUGACAAAGGAUGAAGGGAAAUCUUCUAUCUUCCUCUCAGGGCAGAGGAAUGACUCCAGGGACCCGAACCACGAGAGCUGAAUCUUCAUGCUCCCAGGAUCAGCAUGUCUCACCAGACACUCAGGCAGCUGGCACACUCCUGUAGCAUCCUGUAGAAAAAACACAAACAUUCCCUCUUCCCCAUAUAAAAUAUCUGGACAGGAACAUGUCAAUAAGUGGAUCUCUCUAUUUCACCUAGGCAGAAGUAUGCCUAGUUGUAGGGUGCCAUAAACUUUGGCAUCCAAAUUUUUAAAAUUGAAAUAUUUUAAAAUUGAAAUAAAAGGAGCAUUAUUUAGCAUACAGGGAUAACUCCCCCUUUUUAUUUAUAAAGAUAUAGUAAAGAUAUUAUUUAUUAAGGUAAGUCCUCGAGGAUUAAGUUGAGGACACUGAGCACUUGUAUUUAUAAAUUGACUUGUAUACCAAAUUAUUGUCUCUAGCAUAAUUGUAUUGAAUAUAUAAAGAAUGAGAUUUUUUGACUAAUUGUUCCUAUGUAAGGCCUAUAAUCUGUCUGGAAUCUUGUCCUCCCUUGUUAAGGAGCCCAGAAAAUCCAGUUUGAGUUUUUAAAUGUCCUAUAAAGGAACAGUAUAUAGUGCUCUUAACCACUAAGCCAUUUUUCUAGCACCUCACAAACUUUAUUUACCUAAACAUAAGCAUUAAUUAGAAAUGUCAAAUCUUGUAAAUAUUGUCCAGAUUUAGUCUUACUAGAAAUCUCUGAGCUGGCAGGGUGAGGCUGGGAGUUGAAAGUAAACAAAUGGAGUCUUCCUCUUUUCGUGAGGGUGUGUUAUCAACUCUAUUACCAUUUUUAAAGAGCAGCGUCUAUGGUUUUGUUUAGUUGUCUGAGCCAGAGCACUGAAAGGACAAUGAGUUGUCAGACAAUUCACAUUGAAAUCGUCACUCACUGAUUUCAAGUAGAAAACCUGUCUCUAAUAAAGCAUUAAGUAAUUGAAAUCAAUUGUAAACCACAAGCCACACAUUGGCUAUCAGUAUAUGAAUAGAAAGCUUGAUUUAAAAACAGUGGCUACAGGACGUAAUCUAAUAAUCUGUGCUGAAGCAACAGAAACUCAAGAGAAUAAACAAGUGAU
Rattus norvegicus (Norway rat) is the source of this 2757-nucleotide long non-coding RNA. Lineage: Eukaryota; Metazoa; Chordata; Mammalia; Rodentia; Muridae. The record is from Ensembl.